CUUUGUGCAGUCUUAGACAUAAGGAAGAUCUGAAUUCUGAGAAAGCCUGUGAAGCACAGUAAUUAAAGAGCACCAUAUUUGAACAGAUAUUCAUACAGGGAUCAACUAUUUGGGUUGAGUUGAACUUCCAGAAGGAGGCUGGUACCAUUCAGCAGGCGGGCUGAGAGGUUGGGCUGAGGAGAGGUGGAAGUGUCUUGUUCUGCCUUACAGGACUGUUAAUCUUAAACCAUUAAGCAAAACAACAGCACAAGGGAAAGGCUAGUACUGCAGGCCUCCUGGGAGUUGGCAUGGAUUGAAUGUCUGCACAUCUGGGUUUCUGCCAGCACUGUGGAGGCCGGAGGUGUGCUGAUGUUCCACAGAGUUGGCCUCGCACUUCUAGUCAUGUGUCGGGAGGCCCGGCGUAGCCCCGUGCGCAGGCGCCCGGAAAGGCAGGCAGCAGGCGCCCGGGAAGCGGCGCGGAGACAGACGCGGCCUUGGGCCUGCCUCCGCAGCGAGGGCGAGAACCGCCAUGCCGCACAGAAACACCCACACAAUAGGCCCGCCCGGAGAUGUGUGUGAAAUAUGCCGACGUGGAGAAACCCCUGGGAAAACAUGCCACAAGGCGGGUUGCUCUUGGCCCUGCCCUUGAGAGCCAGAAA
This is a long non-coding RNA of Chinchilla lanigera (long-tailed chinchilla), 638 nucleotides long. RefSeq lists it as uncharacterized. NCBI's taxonomy places the organism in Eukaryota, Metazoa, Chordata, Mammalia, Rodentia, Chinchillidae. The transcript has 4 exons. The record is from RefSeq and is a predicted model, not a curated record.